UACGUAGGGUGCGAGCGUUAAUCGGAAUUACUGGGCGUAAAGCGUGCGCAGGCGGUCUGUUAAGACCGAUGUGAAAUCCCCGGGCUUAACCUGGGAACUGCAUUGGUGACUGGCAGGCUUUGAGUGUGGCAGAGGGAGGUAGAAUUCCACGUGUAGCAGUGAAAUGCGUAGAGAUGUGGAGGAAUACCGAUGGCGGAAGGCAGCCCCCUGGGGCCAAUACUGACGCUCAUGCACGAAAGCGUGGGGAGCAAACAGG
RNAcentral lists this ribosomal RNA (256 nucleotides) under uncultured bacterium. RNAcentral's name for it is "partial 16S ribosomal RNA". It matches the Rfam family "Bacterial small subunit ribosomal RNA", at positions 524 to 776 of the family's 1533-position model. The record is from RNAcentral.